AUGUCUCAGGCAAGCAAAGACACUGAGAGUGCAUUAGCUGGUUUAGAGCAAGAGGUAGACCAGUCAGAUGUUCCUCAACCAACAACACUAUCUAAAGAGCCUCGAAGGAGUGAAAGAGCUCGAACAUUAACUGAAAAAGGAAAGGAACUUCAGAAGGAAAAGCUAGAAGUUCUUCUGCUACGCUUUGACAGUAUUUAUGAAAGAUGGAGAGCUCUGACCAAGGUUGCUAAGAAAUCUGUAAUGAGUCAAGAUCCCAGUGAAAUUCUACAGGAACACAUUAGCAGCGUUCAGAAAGAGGCAUCAGAGCUGAACAAUAUUUAUGAUGACUCCAGAAGAAUUGAUAGUCCAGCUCAUGACAUGCGUCGUAAGAUGGACAACUGUACAUCAAUUACUGAAGUAGUGGUUCAGAACGCUCAGUUGCAAAUUCAAGGAAGAGAAGAGCAGAUUAUUUGGCCUAAUGCGAAGUCAGUAUUUGCAUCUUCCAUAUCCAGUGUUUCACCACCUGCUUCAAGUCGUUCUAAGAUUAAUUCUUUGCGCUCUGAUACAUCUUCAGUCAAAAGACAAGAAGCUGCUGAUGAGUAUGCAGCCACACAAGCUGUCUUAAAGAUUAUGGCUGAGCAAGAGUCAUAUCAAGAAAAACUACAAAAGCUUGAGGUUGAAGAGAAGUUGAUCAUUGCAGAACAAGAAGCAGCUGCAUUAGCUUGUCAUCUGCAAGCGGAAAAGGAAGAAACAGAGCGUAGAAUAGAAAGGGAGAAACGAAAAUCCGCUCUCCAAAGGAAACAACAAGAGGAGAACGCCGCAAGAAGGAGGUCAGUAGAAAACUUAAAAAGAGAACUUGAGCGUUUGGAGGAAUUGAAAAGGCUGAAUGCAGCCAAGGCAAAACUUCAGGUUUAUGAUGAACACGAGAAUGAUCAGGUUAAGGGCUUUGCAGCAAAUAGUGCAGAACUUCCUAUUGUCAUGCAGACUGUCAGUCAGAUUAAGCAAGAACCACAACCACCAAGAGUUGUGUUCUCUAAUAGUAGUUCAACACAAAAUGAAACAGGAGCACUUGUGAAGGUUUUGGCUGAGGCUAUGUCAGCAAACAGGCUCCCCAUUCCAGAACCUACCGUCUUUUGUGGAGAUCCACUUAGGUUUGUUCAUUGGAAGGCAUCUUUCAAGACUCUGAUUGAGCAGAAAAACAUUCCAACCUCAGAGAAGAUCUUCUUCCUUCAGAGAUAUGUUGGAGGAGCAGCACGAGAGGCUUUGGAAGGUUACUUUCUAAUUGGUUCAGAAGAGUCAUAUGAAGCAGCUUGGAAGUUGCUCAGUGAACGAUAUGGACAUCCAUUUGUAAUUGCAAAGGCUUUCAGAGACAAAUUAUAUUCCUGGCCAAAGGUAGCUGCAAAGGAAAGUGCUGAGUUAAGGAAAAGUGGACUUCUUGCGCAGUUGUGA
Molecule: long non-coding RNA, 1428 nt
Filed under: Betta splendens (Siamese fighting fish)
Lineage: Eukaryota; Metazoa; Chordata; Actinopteri; Anabantiformes; Osphronemidae
Description: lncRNA (ENSBSLG00000015289.1)
Source: RNAcentral